Molecule: unclassified non-coding RNA, 782 nt
Filed under: Hevea brasiliensis (rubber tree)
Lineage: Eukaryota; Viridiplantae; Streptophyta; Magnoliopsida; Malpighiales; Euphorbiaceae
Source: RNAcentral
AAAUAGCCAAUGGUUCCUGCCACACGUGUACUAACAUGAGUAGCGUUGGGGGGAAUGAGCUUUGCCAGGCCAAAAUCUGAAAUCUUGGGUGUCAAGUCUUUGUCAAGGAGAAUAUUACUCGCUUUGAUAUCACGGUGAAUUAUAUGUGGCUUCACUUGCUCAUGAAGAUAAGCUAGCCCCUUCGCAACUCCAAUGCAAAUUUUAGUCCUUGUUCGCCAACUGAACUGGAUGCUACUGUGUCCUCCACCGAGAAGCGUUUGAGCAAGGCUGUUGUUUUCAAGAUAGUUGUAGACCAAUAUCCUGUGAUCGUCUUCUAUACAACAGCCAUAGAGUUUCACUAGAUUUUCAUGGUCAACGUCUGAAAUUACUUUGAUUUCUGUCAAGAACUCCCUGACACCUUGCUUUGAUUCACUUGAAAGAACCUUUAUAGCAGCCAUCUUUCCACUUUUUAGCCUUCCCUUAUAAACAGAACCAAAUCCACCCUCUCCAAUUUUAUUUAAAGUACUAAAAUCAUCUGUGGCGAUUCUUAACUGCUUAUAGGAGAAAAGAGUGACAUUCUUGACGCCAGAGAGCUCAUCAUCAAAUUCAGAUGCAUGCCUAGUUGAUGACUGAUGUUUUCUAUGGAACAAAGGGAAGCAAGUCAUAACUUUAGGAUGCACCAAUGACCUUCUGUAUAUGAUAUCAACCAAAAUCAGAGCCUCAAAAAAUAGCAGAAAACAAAAGCAGGUGACCUUGCUGUUUUUUGGGUUCCUUUUCUUUUUUGAGUUUUCCAAAGAAGUGAA